CCUACGGGAGACUGCAGUGAGGAAUAUUGGUCAAUGGACGAGAGUCUGAACCAGCCAAGUAGCGUGAAGGAUGACUGCCCUAUGGGUUGUAAACUUCGUUUAUAAAGGAAUAAAACGAGGCACGUGUGCCUUUUUGCAUGUACUUUAUGAAUAAGGAUCGGCUAACUCCGUGCCAGCAGCCGCGGUAAUACGGAGGAUCCGAGCGUUAUCCGGAUUUAGUGGGUUUAAAGGGAGCGUAGAUGGGUUGUUAAGUCAGGUGUGAAAGUUUGCGGCUCAACCGUAAAAUUGCAAUUGAUACUGGCAGUCUUGAGUACAGUUGAGGUAGGCGGAAUUCGUGGUGUAGCGGUGAAAUGCUUAGAUAUCACGAAGAACCCCGAUUGCGAAGGCAGCUUACUAAACUGUGACUGAUAUUGAUGCUCGAAAGUGUGGGUAUCAAACAGGAUUAGAUACCCGUGUAGUC
Molecule: ribosomal RNA, 460 nt
Filed under: uncultured bacterium
Lineage: Bacteria
Description: partial 16S ribosomal RNA
Rfam family: Bacterial small subunit ribosomal RNA
Source: RNAcentral